Non-coding RNA from Lolium perenne, 3555 nucleotides. Lineage: Eukaryota; Viridiplantae; Streptophyta; Magnoliopsida; Poales; Poaceae. The record is from RefSeq and is a predicted model, not a curated record.
AAAUCAUUAGCACCCUCUUCGUCCAUCGGUCCGUGGUCCGUGUCGUAUAUCCCUCAAAGCGCACUCCGUGGCCGGCGAUCUCCACCUCUCCCCCAGUUCGUGCGCCGUUGGGCACCCUGACUGCCACCACCGGCCCGCCCACCCACACGCGUUCGUGCUCCACGCGCUAUCUUCCCCGCCCACCUCCUAGGCCAGCCAUGGAGAUCCAUCUCCCGCCGUUGCAACAAGCACUGCCGCUCGCCGUGGAGCAUGGUAGACGAGGUUGUGGCUGCGCUCUCCGCCCCAUCGUCCUCUACUGCAGCUUCCGCAGUGGACACCCUCCUCCACCCGCCUCCCACGCUCCAGGACCCGUGCCCCUCCCACGCCGCCCUCACCCGCCUGGUUCCCUACAUGCUACCACCAGUCCCAUCCUUCCUCGACCGCCUGGCCCGCGUCCUCCACCAAUCCCGUCCUCCCUCUCGAGCCUCCCGCCAUCAUGAUUCGAUGUAAUCCUUCCGCCCAUCCUCCUGAUUCGCGCCGCCGUCAUGCCUCUGCAGCUCGGAUCUCGCAGGGUGGUCUGAUUCUAGGAGACGACUGAGGAGGACAGGCACAAUUCCGGGCAUCUCGGCGCUGCUUGGACUGAAUAUCUCCACUCCCCGCUCCAGAUCUUCUCCACGACAGUAUGAUGAGGUGAAGUGGAUUGCUCUUCAAGUGUUUGAUUUAAUGUCUCUGCUUUGUAUUUGUUGUCCUGCGUGAACAUUGUGCGGUGUUGACUGUUGAGGCUUUUAUAAUUUCUAGGGAGAUGGUCCCAAUAGUGUUUUUGAUUCAUGUGAAGUAGAAGAACCUUGGGGCUGUACAUGGGAGAGUGGAUCAGGUGAGAUACGACCUGGGUACAUGUUACCGAACAGCCAUAGUCAAACAAUAUAAAAAUCAUGGGUACAUGUGAGACACCUGAAGUUGUUGAACAUUGUAUACCUGCAUAUAUCCCGUAGUGCUGAGUCUCAAUUUAUCUGCAAAUUGGAGCAUAUCAAAACUGUAAAAGUAACACAUGCAAGAGCGUCUGUUGGAAGAAAGAUGAACCUCUUAACAUUCAGAGUAAUAUGGGAGCAAGGCAUAUUCAAAAUGUGUAGUAAAUAACUGAAAAUUAAGGCAUAGCAAGAAUUUCAGUCUCGUCUUGGAGUGGAAAUAUGCAGUAAUAUUCCAUUAUUGCGGAUGAAGAUAUAUAACCCUCUUACCCUCCUAUUUUCAACUACUAUCCAGGUUCUCCCUUCAGAUAUAUGGGCGUGCUUUAAAAGCACUCAAGGUGUAGUCCACUAUGCCAAUCUUUACAAAAUAGUAGCUCGCUUUGGAUUUCUAGAUAAAUACAAUUAUCUCAAUGAAAUAAUAUAUGAAAUUUUUUAUAGACUACAUCCUUUCAAAAGAAAACACAACAUGUUGACAGUUACACAGUAAAGCAAGCAAACAGUUGGGCCACAAUAUAAUUUUUGACUGAAUGGCUUGUGUAUUGUUUGGUCACCAACAGGAAACAUAUAACCAAUUUUUUUGCGGGGCAAAUUAUUUGGGUCUGCACAUCGAAGUUUUUUUCUAAGAGAAAAUCUCUGUAGGCCUCCAAGGAUUCAAGCUGCAGAUAAUGCGUUGGUUUAUGACUUCAUCUUCUUAUCCAGCAUUCAUUCGCAGACUAGAGCCAAAUGUGAUCUUGGAGACUCGUUCCCUACUUGAACAACAAUAAUCACUAUACCUGGGUCAGGUAACAAGGUAACAGGAAGAAUGCAAACAGAAGAUACUUAGUCCAAUGAAACAUGCCACACGUAUGACAUUGGUCAAUCGGAUCAUCUCAUGUAUAUUGUAAAGUUCAGAAGCAGAACAAAAUGGUAGAACAAGAAAUGCAAAUGGUACAUGUGUUUCUGAUGCUUAGCUCAUUUAGCUUCUUAUGAUGUUCUGAUCUGAGUACAGUUGGUCUUUUUUAGAUCGAUGAGCUUCUGAAUGAUUCUGAUUUUUUUCUUGAGAUAUCAGAUGCUAUGGUUGACAUUGACAGUGUUUUUCUGCUGGAGAACUUGGUGCAGGAUUAAUAACAUAACCAUUAGAACCUCAGGAUUUGAGGUGAUGUUUUGUUUUCCAGUUUCUUAUGGAGCCAUAUUGUUCAUUGGCAAUGUUAUUUAUUGUUCAUCAUCAUUAGUCUUGACCUUCAAAUUGUCCAUCUCACCUUAAAUGUCUACUGCAGUGUUAUCAUAUAUUGCAGGAUUUUGAAUUUGCAACGCCUUUAUUUUCUUGUGUCUCACUCAUCCUUUUGCUCCUGAUAGUAGAUUAAAUAGAAAAGGUAAAAAGGUGCAAAAGAUUGGAUCAAAUAAAAUAAUUCAGAGUGUCUCCAAAUUAAUGUGUGUUUUUAUAUUUUCCUAAUGCGGAUUCUCUCAGCUUAUGCUCAACUGCAGAAAAGUCCUUGCCAUUUCUAUUCAAGAGGUAUAUGCAAACCAGUACUGAUCAUGCAAGAAAAUAUUGUGGGACAGAGCUUGGACUAGCGAUUUGCAAGCAAUUGGUGGAGUUGAUGGGUGGUACUCUAACUGUGGUUAGCAACGAGAAUGAAGGAUUAACAUUUGCAUUCAAGAUACCUUGCAAGCUUACUGUAAAAGAGGUGCACAUUGAUGAUCCUGAUGAUGUGUCCAGUUCUCAUUAUGAUUUUACUGUCGGUGAUAUAGAAGGUUCUUACUGUAAAUGUUAGGAGAAUAGAUGACGAGCAAGAUGAUGAUUUAAUGGUCUUUGAACUAAAUAGUCAAGUUGAAUGGAUUUACUGUUCAUGGGGCGGCAGGACAUCGGUUUCAGGGGCAGGCAUUCAGGAGGGAAGGAAAGCAUGCAAAGCUUUUGAAGGAAAAUCACUUAACAAGAAAUCCAAGUGUUCUCCAAGUAGCAGUAAGGCAAUAAUCCUCCUUGUCGAAGAUAACAAAGUCAAUAUAUUGGUGGGGAAAAUCAAUGCUGGUGCUGCUGGGCUAUGGAAUAGACAAGAAACAAUGGAGUCGAAGCAAUCCACGCCGCGUUCUGGGACGCGCGGGCGAAGCGGCGGCAGCAGAACGACCGGCGAAAGUGCCAGCCGCGACGAUGGUGCCGACUCUCAGAAGAGAUUAGUCGUCGAAACGACCGGCAAAUCCAGCGGCGGUGAAGGGGUGAGAGGCGUCGGAGGGAAGGAGCGACGAGAAAAAACACGCGAACCAACGGUUUUUAUGAAAAUAGUCGCUGACAUGUGGAAGCUCGCAUCGCUUUUCGUUGUGUUCGGCGUGCCCGGAGCGUCCCCUGUGAGGCGGGACAGCUUCGGGGCGCCGGACACCGUAUCGGGCGCGCCGAACAAAAAGCGGCUUUGGAGGACACGCCUCAAAUCCCUUUGGGGGACGAGUACCAGUGCAUUACUUGCCCAGACAAAUGUACCACGGCGGCGAGAUACCAGUACAUUACUUGCCCAGACAAAUGUACUCCUUAGCUGCGUCAAUUAAUUUGGGCGAGUAUACAAUUUUGACAUAUGGAACCUUUUUAAUAAGAUGACCUAUGUUGCUCAACAACCUCAGUCGUGUAUGACGUAUGCGUGCAAAA